RNAcentral lists this long non-coding RNA (214 nucleotides) under Panax ginseng (ginseng). Its description in RNAcentral is "long non-coding RNA (PGIN_LNC010040)". The record is from RNAcentral. Lineage: Eukaryota; Viridiplantae; Streptophyta; Magnoliopsida; Apiales; Araliaceae.
CCCAAUGUUUUCUUGUGAUUCAGCAUUUCUUUUUCCCUCCCACAUUUCGAAUAUGGGAUCUUUGGGCACGUUGACUGCCAUUAACAAUUCAAUAAUUUUGUGGUUGUCUUGUUGAAUUAUCAAUGAGAUUAAUUGCUAACUCAUUUGUGAAGCUAAUAGAGUGGGGAGUAGGAAGCAUAAGAUGGGAAAUUCAGGCAUAUUACCUGCUGCUCUC